UACGUAGGUGGCAAGCGUUGUCCGGAAUUAUUGGGCGUAAAGCGCGCGCAGGCGGUCCUUUAAGUCUGAUGUGAAAGCCCACGGCUCAACCGUGGAGGGUCAUUGGAAACUGGGGGACUUGAGUACAGAAGAGAAGAGUGGAAUUCCACGUGUAGCGGUGAAAUGCGUAGAGAUGUGGAGGAACACCAGUGGCGAAGGCGACUCUUUGGUCUGUAACUGACGCUGAGGCGCGAAAGCGUGGGGAGCAAACAGGAUUAGAUACCCUGGUAGUCCACGCUGUAAACGAUGAGUGCUAAGUGUUAGAGGGUUUCCGCCCUUUAGUGCUGCAGCUAACGCAUUAAGCACUCCGCCUGGGGAGUACGGCCGCAAGGCUGAA
This 376-nucleotide ribosomal RNA is filed under the name uncultured bacterium. Its description in RNAcentral is "bacterial SSU rRNA". It matches the Rfam family "Bacterial small subunit ribosomal RNA", at positions 524 to 898 of the family's 1533-position model. The record is from RNAcentral.